Molecule: transfer RNA, 75 nt
Filed under: Cytophagales bacterium
Lineage: Bacteria; Pseudomonadati; Bacteroidota; Cytophagia; Cytophagales
Description: tRNA-Gly
Rfam family: tRNA
About the family: Transfer RNA (tRNA) molecules are approximately 80 nucleotides in length. Their secondary structure includes four short double-helical elements and three loops (D, anti-codon, and T loops).
Source: RNAcentral
GCGGGUAUCGCCAAGUGGUAAGGCGACAGCCUUCCAAGCUGUUAUUCGUCGGUUCAAAUCCGUCUACCCGCUCCA